UACGUAGGGGGCAAGCGGUUGUCCGGAAUCAUUGGGCGUAAAGCGCGCGUAGGCGGCCCGGUAAGUCACUUGUGAAAAUCUCCAGGCUUAACUUGGAAACUGCCAUUGAUACUAUCAGUCUUGAAUACCGUGGAGGUCAGCGGAAUAUGUCAUGUAGCGGUGAAAAUGCUUAGAUAUGACAUAGAACACCAAUUGCGAAGGCAGCUGGCUACACGAAUAUUGACACUGAUGCACGAAAGCGUGGGGAUCAAACAGG
RNAcentral lists this ribosomal RNA (256 nucleotides) under uncultured bacterium. RNAcentral describes it as "partial 16S ribosomal RNA". It matches the Rfam family "Bacterial small subunit ribosomal RNA", at positions 524 to 776 of the family's 1533-position model. The record is from RNAcentral.